Molecule: long non-coding RNA, 474 nt
Organism: Hordeum vulgare subsp. vulgare (domesticated barley)
Lineage: Eukaryota; Viridiplantae; Streptophyta; Magnoliopsida; Poales; Poaceae
Exons: 3
Source: RefSeq, a predicted model, not a curated record
AAGCCCGAACAGCUCAAGUGAAAGUGAACGGAUAUGAACACCACAACCCUCUCAGGGGAUGUUGGCUGAUCAGGAUACCCAAUUCUCAAACAAGAAUGCUGAGAUACCCAAGAUAUGGAACUUCACCCCUAAGCUAGACCACCAGGUGAACAUGUCAAAGGUGCAGUUGGACAAGAUGAAGCCAUGAAUUGUCACACAGGUCACUGAGCUUCUUGGGUUUGACAAACUACCUAACUGCUAUUGACCUGAAUUUAGUUUUAUCUGAACUAAGAACACCUGAUGUGCUGCUUUAACAAAGAAUUACUCAUUUGGUGUUCUUUUGCACUGUUGAUUUUUGUUCAAAAUGGUGUGAGUGCGACCUCUUUGUCAUGUUAGAUAAGCCUUUCUGUAUCACAUGGAUGUGAUAUGUAGUAUGGUGUACAAAAGUGAUGAAAGGUAUUCGUUGGAAUUCAUUUGGCAGCAACAGUUUAUCAA